RNAcentral lists this unclassified non-coding RNA (396 nucleotides) under soil metagenome. RNAcentral's name for it is "partial contains 5.8S ribosomal RNA, internal transcribed spacer 2, and large subunit ribosomal RNA". The stretch from base 1 to 120 matches the Rfam family "5.8S ribosomal RNA", at positions 35 to 154 of the family's 154-position model. The record is from RNAcentral.
GAUGAAGAACGCAGCGAAAUGCGAUAAGUAGUGUGAAUUGCAGAAUUCAGUGAAUCAUCGAAUCUUUGAACGCACAUUGCGCCUCCUGGCAUUCCGGGAGGCAUGCCUGUUCGAGCGUCAUCAAACCCCAUCGUGCAAAUGAAUUAUUUUUUUUGCGCGGAAGUGACGAUUGAGCGAGAAUAACAAAUCCUCUCGCACCUCGUCGAAAUGAUUGCGGGCGGAAUUUGGGAUCGGGUUCCUCGGCGUAGUGUAUCAAUGCAUAUUUAUGCAACUUGCCGCGGAGUUGAGCCUGACCCACGCGUUCUCGCCGUACAAACACCUCAUUACUUUAGAAGUUUUUGACCUCGGAUCAGGUAGGGAUACCCGCUGAACUUAAGCAUAUCAAUAAGCGGAGGA